RNAcentral lists this long non-coding RNA (217 nucleotides) under Brassica napus (rape). RNAcentral's name for it is "long non-coding RNA (BNAP_LNC027017)". The record is from RNAcentral. Lineage: Eukaryota; Viridiplantae; Streptophyta; Magnoliopsida; Brassicales; Brassicaceae.
UUUCCUUAACUCAGGAUUUAUGCAAAGUUUAAUUAUUCAGUAUUGCAAAUAAUGACCUUUUUAUUACUGUUAAUACAAUGAAAAUACUUUUCUGUAACUAAACAAAAAGUAACUUUAUGAUCCUUCAACUUGCAAGCUAUGGUCGUCAAGCCAGGAGAUAAUAUCGGACAAGACACGGAGGAUUACUUCGUCUGGUUCGCCUUCCAGCAGAGAAUGA